CCCGGGCCUUGUACACACCGCCCGUCACACCACGAGAGUUGGUAACACCCGAAGUCGGUGAGGUGACCUUAAAAGAUGCCGAAGGUAUGGCUGGUGAUUGGGAUG
This 105-nucleotide ribosomal RNA is filed under the name uncultured bacterium. Its description in RNAcentral is "partial 16S ribosomal RNA". The record is from RNAcentral.